Bacillus rossius redtenbacheri is the source of this 7082-nucleotide RNA transcript. RefSeq lists it as uncharacterized. Lineage: Eukaryota; Metazoa; Arthropoda; Insecta; Phasmatodea; Bacillidae. The transcript is spliced from 2 exons. The record is from RefSeq and is a predicted model, not a curated record.
UGCACGGAAAUGUAACAAAUGGCAACCAGUGAGUUGCAUUUGAAGGUUACAAAAUAUUAAUAAAUUAAUUUAAAUAAAUAUUUUGCUUUGAGUUCAUAGCACUGGCAGAAUUUACACAUAUAAUGAAAAUAAAUGACUAAGUAGUAAUAGAACACUAGAUAUUCUUGUACUGAAACAAUUUUUAACGUAUUUAGACCGUAAACAAACCUGGCUACCACCGCGGCCAAAUUACUCUGCUUCUAUUAGUAGCAUGGAGCAACGUGACGCAAGAGCUCAGCAUUGCCUAGCUAAUCCUACAGGUCCAUCUCCGUAUGUGGCGUCCGUUUCCGUAUGUGUGCCAUUGUAGAAACUCUGUUCUGGGAGAUCUGUCUCCGUUUACUUUAUCUUUCUCAGUUUCCAUGUCAUUGUAGAACGAGCCUUAUAGCAAACUUGCAUAUUUGAACACUUGCUUAUGCAUACUUGCACACUUGUAUACUUAUGUACAUGUACACUCACUUACAUGCUUAUUCGCAUACUUUUACGCAUCUUAUACAUUCUCAUACUUCUAUCUACUUCUUCUAACAUGUGUGAUGGCCACUUAACAAUGUUUUUGUUUGGUUAUGUGGUGCAAGAAGCAAUUUUUUUUCUGGCUGACAGUAUUUUAUCUCAUAGGUACCAAAAUUUUUCCAAAACUCUCCAAUUUCUGUUGUUGUUUUGUGUUCUACCUCCCACUGCUUCUGUAACCAGCAGUACCGCGUGAGGUAGUGCAGCCGUAACACGUGAACUCACAUGAAGGACCAGAUUUUGGUUUUCCAUAAUUUCCUGAAAACACUUCAGGCAAAUAUUGAAACGGUUCCUUACAUGGUUGAUGUCUUCUCAAAUUUCCCUGAUGUGUAUAGAGUUUUUACCGGAUUAAUUUUAGAUGUAAAAACUAAAUAAAUAAACACAUUGACAAUGAAUAAUAACUACUGUAUUUUUAUUUGAAAAAAAUACUUUCCACGUUGUCCCUGUGUUUUUUAGUUCAGUACCUUUUAAAUUUGUUGUUUAUUUAAAAAAAAAAUAUUUUUUUAAAAUGCUCUGUUAUAGUUUACUUUUUGUUAGUAUUAACAAUUGGUAAAUGCCAGUAUAUUGUCAUUGUUGAUGCUCAAUGUGUUGAUCUUUUCCCAUAGAAUGCUGUUGUCUCUGUGGAAUCUCUGAAGUAAGUGGUGGUUAACCACUGCUGGAUAAGCCCUGCAAGUGCCAAAGAAAAUUAACCUUAAUCAAACUGACUACUCGAGUGCUGGAUGAUUUUUCUCCAACAACCAGUGGCCACAGCUGAAUCCUCGUGGACAAUCCUGAUCUUGGUUCACCACUGUUUCUAAAAGUAACUCAAAUCAGAUGCUUGACAAGUUCUUUGGAUGUCGUAGUUGCUAAUUGUCUCAGUGACGAGAGGCAAAUUCAUAUAAAGAAAAAAAUAUUUAUGUUUGGGAAGAUCCAUUAUUUUUGUCAUCCCAGAUUCUUGCCACAAGCCCUAUAACAUCAAAAGCACAAGUCAUGGAAGCCCUCAUUGGUAAAUUAAAGGGAAAGCCAUUUGGUCACCUGGUUGAUGAGUCUCUGUAAUGUGACAUCUAACCUUUCUGCAGCCGUUUUUGUCACCCCAUUUGGCAGGUGUGUUUUCAACACUUAAAUGCUCGGGGAAUUUACAAUCCUGAGAAUAGUUAUGGUCAUAUUCCUGCCUUAUCAAAGAGACAGACAAUAAUGAGUUUACACUUCAUUUGAAGAUUAGUGAGGUUUUGUAGUUGCAACAACGUAAUUGCUGCACUGCGUCAGCUGGUUGAGGAUGGAAGUCCAAUCAUAGGAUUGGGACCAGAACUGAAACAUAUGCGACGUGCCCUGACACUCCGCAAAUUAAAUGGGCUUCAUUAUAUUUGGUGGCUGAAUGCACAUACUAUUACUGUGUUUAAUAUAAUAGUGGUCUAAGUGAGUAAUGUCAACUAAGAGUGCAUUAUGAAAGGAUUGACUUGUUGAACUUGGGAACAGCAGGUGGAGUGAUCCAGAUCGUGAAGAGCAACCGCGGCAAGAACCAGCUACUGUUCCAAGGCUACCGCUACACCAAGCACCAGCAGUAUCCCUCCAGGACUCUGUGGCGCUGCGUGUGCUACUACUCCUCCGGCUGCCUGGCGCUGUGCAACACCGUGGGCUUCGCGUUCCUCAACGCCAAGGGUGCGCACAACCACCACCCCGCCGUGCCGCACGCCACACUGCGGGCCAUGGGCGCCCUGGGGGGAGAACCGGGCUGACGGGGGUGGCAGGGAAGGAUCUUCCACCUUGCCGUGAAUGAAUGAACUGGCGCUGAGUGUCACAGUGAUGGAGCAUUGGCAGUGCGUAUGUGAGGGAAACUGAAGACUUCGAGGAAACCCACAGGCCACUGCAACGUCUGCCACAUACCCCUCUCGUGCCGAAUUUGAGUUUGAUCCCGCCAGAAUGUGAACGCAGAUUGUGUUGGUAAGGGGCCUGUGGAUCAGGUGGACAUUGCUGUUAGCCAUGAUGUUUUUUCAGGGUACUCCUGUUUUCUUUUACCAAGGCAUUCUUAUCACUGCUCCAUCCAUCUCUAGAUCACAUUUCAUGUUUUAUUGAAAGACAGGGGUGGUACAGGAGUGACUUCUGGGAGGGGAACAGGAAGUCUGAAUAUCCAGUCUACAGUAAAAUUGGGGGAAUUAGACUUAAUAUCUAGAUAUUAAUAACUGAGCCUAAGUUAUUUAUCCAUCUUUGAUAAGUAUUAAAUAUAUUAAUUGCCCAAAAUUUACUUCAGAAGUGUUUUCAUCCGUUGCAUCACUUACCCUACUGAAGGGAGCACGCAUCCCUAUGCCACCCCUCUGGAUCCGCCACUAUUUAAGACUUUUGACAUAUACAUUUCCCACUUUAAAAGCCUGAUCAAAGUUGUGCUGCACAUACAAAAUGAAUUUAUUUAUUGGAGAUCGUGAUUGAGUUAAGAUUAUAAUUCAGUAGCAAAAUAUUUUGUUUUUCAAAAGCAACUUUGUGGUGGAAAAUUAGUUUCCAUGUAAUUUUUAAUUUUCGUGUGCAAAUUUUUUAAUGUAUAAAUGGUUAUUUAAGUGCAAGCCUUACAUUGAAAGAUACAUUAGAUGUGCAGAAGGCUGAUAUCCAAAUGGUGUUCCUUGUAGUUAUCGUUUUACUUGCAUGUUUCAGGACCUUAUACAUGCAUUAUUUUAAUACAAUGUGUGAAGAGCUUUGCUAAGCUAUAUUUUUUUAACCAAACAAAAAGUAAAGUUGUGAAUGUUUCCAUGAUUGCCAACUGUGCAAUAAUAUUGCAAAACAUAUUACAGAAAAUUUGAAUGAAUAACAGUUUAAAUAUAUAUUUUUUAAUGUAUACCUGAGAGUUGAGGUACCUAUUAACUUCAACAGUGUUACAUUAAUUUUAUAUAAAUGUUGGAAUAGUUUACCUGAUAACAGAUUGAAUAUAUUUUAAUAUGUCAUUGAUUUUUUAUUUUAUUUUGUGUGUGUACACACGCAUACACUCACUCUCACACACUGGAGUAUAGCUAAGUGUGGUGUGCAAUGCCUAAGCAGUUGGAAAUUUUGGAUACUUCCUUUGCUGUAUUUUUUCACUGUAGUUAUUAUAAAUUAACUUUACAUUUUUAGUUAUGAACCAUUGUAAUAAAGCAUCAAAACUAGAAAAUGAACAUCUAAAUAAAUUCUAAUAUAUAUAUCUGUGUGUGUGUGUGUGUGUGUGUGUGUGUGUGCGUUUGUGCGUGCGUGUGUGUGUGUCCACAUAGGUACAUUGUUCAAGCUAACUGAUGGUAAAAUGUAGUAUGAGAAGCUUUGUUUAAAGAUAUAGAUUACUUUGAUUUUUGAGCUGUAUACAUUUGUUGCUAAAAUUCCAGUCACCAGAACGCUUGUUAUAUUAUUUUAUUCAUCGCAGCUAGUUGUUUUUAAAGUGUGCGUACUGGAAGUUUUCCAGGUGCGCCUUAUUGUAUUCCAGGGAAUUAUGCAUUCAUAUAUAAAAAUAAAUAUAGUUACCAUUUAAUUAAGGAUAUAUACUGUUCUUUUUAAUAACAUCUCAUUAUUGUGUGUUAUUUAAAUGACUACAGGUUUUGCUCGAACAGUGAUUUAGUUCAGUAUAAUACUGUUUGUAAACAAGCCUAUUCCUCAGAAAUUUGUAUUAUGGUGCUCCUACAAUUAUUUGUAUAAUUUUAAAUAUGCCCCAACUUCAAAAAAUUUGGGAAUCACUGAUCUAGGCAUUUAUUUAUUCAACCUCCCAUGAAAUCUCCUUGUUCUCGUCUCUUGUGCUUAUCUCAUCAUCUAGUUCACCUCAUAUCUGUUAUAAUCUGCUUCACACAUAUCACUUUUGUCUAAAUUUCCACCUUGCCAUCAUAGUCAACUGACUAGAAAUCGUCGCACCAUUAAUCCUAUCAAUGUUGAAUUUCAGUUUAUUCAUUUUCGUACACGUUGGCCUACCACUACAAAAAAUAUAUAAAGUGCCACACUUGGACUCAUAAAAUGUUAUACAGUAUUUUGUUGUGAUAAUUUUUUUUUUUCCUUUUGAACUGUAUAAUCAAAUCUUAAAUUUUGGUUAUGUUUUUGUGCCUGUAUAUUAUUUUUGUGGGAUACAGAGGCGGGUUGCUAAAUAUUCCUUCAUCGACAGCACCAGUUGAGCCGAUUGCGCUUAGAUAUUUUUCGGUGUUUUGACCUUGACUGCCAUGUCAUGCCACUGCUCUGACCACAUUUUUUAUUUUGCGCAGUGUAUAUCGUUACAGUUGCUUUUCAUUUGAGUGUAGUGUUUUUGGUUUUCUAGUGUGUAACAUAUCACAUUUGCAUAAUAGUACAACUGUAAUUGCAGUGUGAUACAACAGCUUAUUACAACUUGUUUGAAAUACAAGUUGUCCAUAAAAGAAUGUCCCAGUUUCAGUGGUCUAUUAUAGCUGUUUAAUUCAGACUAUUUACAACAAAUAAUACAUCAAAUUGAAUGUAAACUAACCUAGUUCUUCAAUCUGUGUCUCAACACUGGCCAAUCAUUAGGUAGCGGCAGAACAUAGACACAAUCUUUUAUAAAGUCCCAAAGGAAAGAGCUCCCAUGGCAUUAUGUCAGGUGAUUUUGGAGGCCAGCGAAAAAGAGCUCUGUCAUCUUGACCAUUACGGUCAGGGACUUCAAUGUUCAACCACUCUCGUAGGGCUGAAAUUACAGAUUCACUCUUAGCAAAUUGCAGAACACAAAAUGCUUUACGCUCCGAAGUCACCAUUUUGCAUAGGUGGCACUGCAAACGAGAAAACAACAAAGCAGUAUUCGUGCAAGUGCUUAUCUAAAACUCUUUGAGUUACUGUUUAAUUGAGACCUUGAAACAACACACUACAUUGCGUACAGUUGACACUAUUUAAAGUUAUAAACGGGGACAUUCUUUUAUAGGCAAACUGUAUAUGAACUUUUUUUUUUGUAUUUCUGUUAAAACUAAAUUGACUUUCGAUCAUCCAGCAUAAUCUCUAUCCGGCACAGAUGUUGUUCCGAAUGUACUGGAAAGAAAAAAAAAUACUUCUCAAAUUAAUCAUGACACUUUGUAAGAUGGUCAUUUGUGAUGUGAUAAAGGGAUGAUGUUUUUGACAGUAAUUUAAGGAACACUAUGAGGUAAGCCUUUAGAGUGAGACAUUUUCUCCUGCCCAGGCUAUGGCAUUGGCUCACCACACCUACUGGAAAUCACUACUCGACUGCUAAACAAUUUGAAAUCAAAAUUUCAAUUUGUAAAUUAUACUUUUCAAUUGAUACAGAUGUGAAUUGUGAGGUUAUGGAUAUAAUCUCUCUUUUUUUUUUACUUAUGUUUUCAUCAUAAGUGAAAAUCAUGUGCUCAGUUUAUUGUGCAAAUCACAAAAUAAAAUUGCAUAGUUUCAAGGAAAAAUGGGGGAAAUGAGGGGGUGAUGUUUGUUGUUGAUACUUAAAGAACUUUACAAGUUACAAAUUGGCCUGCUAAUAUUAAUUUUUUUAAUUUUUGUAACUGACCCUCACAGAUAGUCAGUUGUGGAAUGUAAAGGGGUAGUUGUAUUCGUUAAGUUGAGGGGCCUUGUAGUUGUACAAUGUGACUUCCAUGUGUGGUGAUGGCUGGAUGGUUUGUUGCAUCCAACCUCAUGCAUGAUUAAUUGAGUCAUAUACUCCCUUUAUGAUGAUGCUGUUAAAGACUCUGCUUGCUCCCAGGGCGUGAUGGCGCCAUAUGGUUGGAGUACAGCAGAUAAGGCAAAGUACUCUGGGUCGUAGGCCUCCAGGAUGUUGCUAACUCCACAGUACGAAUGAAAUUAGCACAAAGGCUGGUCGCUAGAAGAUGGGGGGGGGGGGGGGGGGGGGUUAAUGGCAUUGUCGCGACCAGCAACCUUGAAGCCCCUCGACUGUUCAAAGAUCCAUUGUCACGGCGAUGCACGUAACAGCCCUAGUGGAAUUGAGGGGACACGGAAGCUUGGUAUGAUUAGUGUAUGAGCUCUGAUUUGGUACCCAAUUUAUUGAAACUGCUCCUUUUGUUCGAAGGCUACCUGUUCAUAUUUAAGGAAGGCCUUGGUGGUCAAGUGUUCAGGUAACUCGCCUCCCACUUAGGUGAAACGUUUCAACAUUGAUGUGCACCGGUGGAGGUUUCCUGUCCGUGUUUCCCGCAGUCUUUCAUUUGUUCAGUGUUUCAUUAGAGUUUAACUAAUGUCCUCGAUGUUGAAAAGACGUAAAGCUGAGUGGAUUCCAUUCCAUUUAUAAUCAAGCAAUGAAAAAAAAUUACUUUUCCGUAAAUGAAAAUAGUUGCACACGUAGUAUUCCACAGCUCAAAAAUGAGUAUAAUUUCUCCAGUUUACUACACUUUUAAAUUACAUGUACAUAAUAUUUUUUUUUUUAUUAACUUUAAACCUUAUUGGUCAAGAAUUGUUUUAAAGUUUUUUAACUGCACAUGAAUUGUAGUAUUUAUUUCGUUAACUCAUACUUGUCAAGAUCAGUGAAUUCCAACUGCAUUCAUUCCAUUGUAAGAAUUUAUAUUACAUCUUAUAAAUAGGUAGUCUUACAAGUGACUGAAAGGUGUACUGUAUUACAAGGCUGUACAUAUGUAAUAAAAUAUAGAAAUUGCAGUAAAAGUGUUUUAUGAAACUGA